RNAcentral lists this ribosomal RNA (253 nucleotides) under uncultured bacterium. RNAcentral's name for it is "partial 16S ribosomal RNA". It matches the Rfam family "Bacterial small subunit ribosomal RNA", at positions 524 to 776 of the family's 1533-position model. The record is from RNAcentral.
UACGUAGGGUGCAAGCGUUGUCCGGAAUUAUUGGGCGUAAAGGGCUCGUAGGCGGUCCAUCGCGUCGGGAGUGAAAAGCUGGGGCUCAACCCCAGUCCUGCUUCCGAUACGGGUGGACUAGAGGUAGGCAGGGGAGAACGGAAUUCCUGGUGUAGCGGUGAAAUGCGCAGAUAUCAGGAGGAACACCUGUGGCGAAAGCGGCUCACUGGACCAUUACUGACGCUGAUGCUCGAAAGCUAGGGGAGCAAACAGG